Molecule: ribosomal RNA, 249 nt
Filed under: uncultured bacterium
Lineage: Bacteria
Description: partial 16S ribosomal RNA
Rfam family: Bacterial small subunit ribosomal RNA
Source: RNAcentral
UACGUAGGGUGCGAGCGUUGUCCGGAAUUAUUGGGCGUAAAGAGCUCGUAGGCGGUUUGUCGCGUCGACUGUGAAAACCUACAGCUUAACUGUGGGCGUGCGGGCGAUACGGGCAGACUUGAGUACUGCAGGGGAGACUGGAAUUCCUGGUGUAGCGGUGGAAUGCGCAGAUAUCAGGAGGAACACCAGUGGCGAAGGCAGGUCUCUGGGGCCGAUACUGACGCUGAGGAGCGAAAGCGUGGGGGAGCG